This is an RNA transcript of Homarus americanus (American lobster), 4482 nucleotides long. It is a transcript of the gene named calpain-A-like, with no coding region annotated. Lineage: Eukaryota; Metazoa; Arthropoda; Malacostraca; Decapoda; Nephropidae. The record is from RefSeq and is a predicted model, not a curated record.
UUUGGUGAGCGAGGGUCAGGUCUACGUCCCCGAGGUCAAGUUCAAGACUUCUACAGCCUCCGUCAACAAUGUCAAGACGAGGGGACACUGUUCGAGGACCAGGAGUUCCCCGCCGAGGACGCUUCUAUCUUCUUCUCUCGCUCCCCUCCCAAACCUUUCGAGUGGAAGCGCCCGCACGAGAUCAUGGCUUUGAAGGAGAUCACGGAUGAGCCCCAGCUGUUCAUCGACGGAGCAUCCCGCUUUGAUGUUAAACAGGGAGAACUUGGCGACUGUUGGCUCUUGGCUGCUGUGGCCAACUUGACCCUCAACAAGCGACUCUUUUACCAGAUUGUACCAAGUGAUCAAGGAUUUGGAGACAAUUAUGCUGGCAUCUUCCACUUCAGAUUCUGGCAGUACGGGCGCUGGGUUGACGUUGUCAUUGACGACCGUCUGCCCACAUUCUAUGGCCGUCUGGUCUUCAUGCACUCAGAAGAGAAGAAUGAGUUCUGGUCUGCCCUUGUGGAGAAGGCUUAUGCUAAGCUUCAUGGCUCAUAUGAAGCCUUGAAGGGAGGUACCACUUGUGAGGCCAUGGAAGACUUCACAGGAGGCGUGUCCGAGAUCUACGACCUCACUAAGGCACCUCCCAACCUCUUCAACAUCAUGCUCAAGGCCUACCAGCGUGGAUCCCUCAUGGGGUGCUCCAUUGAGCCGGACCCAAAUGUAGUAGAGGCUCGGUGUGACAGCGGUCUCGUCCGUGGCCACGCUUACUCCGUCACGAGGAUCAAGUUCUGCGAGAUCAAUACUCCCAGAGUGACUGGAAAGAUUCCGCUCAUCCGUAUUCGUAAUCCCUGGGGUAACGAGGCAGAGUGGCAAGGAGCCUGGAGUGAUCAGAGCCCUGAGUGGCAGUUUAUUCCUCCAGAAGAGAAGGAAGAGAUUGGUCUGACCUUUGAGCAUGAUGGAGAGUUCUGGAUGUCAUUUAAGGACUUCUUAACCAACUUCACAAUGAUGGAAAUGACCAACUUGAAUCCUGACUCCCUGGAUGAUGAGGACAUAACUGGAUCAGUUCAGCACAAGUGGGAGAUGAGUGUCUUUGAGGGAGCUUGGAUCCGUGGCUCCACGGCUGGUGGCUGCAGAAACUUCCUCGACACGUUCUGGCACAACCCCCAGUACAGGAUCACACUGACGGAGGUGGAUGACGACGAUGACGACAACAAGUGUACAGUAAUUGUCGCCCUCAUGCAGAAGAACCGUCGCUCACAGAGGAAGCUCGGUCUGGAGUGCCUUACCAUCGGCUUUGCUAUUUAUCAUUUGCGUGACCCAGAUGGUGUUCCACGUCCCCUGGACCUGAACUUCUUCAAGUACAGCGCUUCAGUGGCUCGCUCUCCUUCCUUCAUCAACAUGCGUGAGGUGUCGUGCCGUUUCAAGCUUCCCCCUGGCACCUACUGUAUCGUUCCAUCAACCUUUGAAGCUAAUGAGGAUGGAGAGUUCAUCCUUAGGGUGUUCUCUGAGAAGUCAAAUGAAAUGGAGGAAAAUGAUGAAGAUGUUGGUUUUGGUCAAGUUGAUGAAAGGGUGCGGCCAGAUGAAGAUGACGCCCAGGAGGUGGAGGCAGACGAGAGGAUCCGUGGGUUCUUCAGGAAGGUGGCUGGAGAGGACCUGGAAAUUGACUGGAAGGAGUUGCAGGGUGUUCUUGACUUUGCUCUAAAACGAGUGUUCGAGUUCAACUUCGACGGCUUCACCAAGGACGUGUGUCGCAGCAUGAUCGCCAUGAUGGACGUCGACCGUUCGGGAAAACUCGGCCUACAAGAAUUCCUCCAACUGUGGACUGACAUCAGGGUGUGGAAGAAUGCCUUCAAGCUGUACGACAAGGACAACUCCGGCCACCUAUGUUCCUUUGAGCUUCGCCAGGCCCUGAACUCUGCAGGAUAUCGCCUCAACAACCACAUCUGUAACGCCCUCAUGCUCCGCUACGGUGAUAAGGAAGGAAGAAUCUCAUUCGACGAUUUCAUCAUGUGUUCCGUCAAGCUCAAAACUAUGAUGGGCUGUGAAGAUGACCCAGAGAAACUACAGGAACUCUAUGAACAACUAAUGAAUGAACAUGAGAUGAACCAGGAGGGGCAGGAGGAAGAACAAGAACAAGAUGAGGAAUAAGGAAUAAAAAGUACAAGAAAUAUUUACCACCACUAAAAGCCUAAAUGGAUCAUAGAUAUUCCAGGAGAGGGACCCAGACAAGACCUUAAGUGCCACCUUUACACUAGAGGAAUGGGUUGAGAACACGAUGUAUUCUUAAGUACCGGCAAUCUCACGUCACAACAACGACAGUACGGGCGUCCCUCGGUUCACGAAACAACCAUUUAUGGAUGGUUUUCUGGCAUGGAGCCUUUACGUGAAUCAAGAGAUGCCCGCGUCAGUCCAACGCCUCAACAUUUGGACGUUGGCAACAGCUUGCACUGUAAUGGUGGGCCUGAGACUCCCACAUGAGUUACGAGCUGCACACAAUGAUACCACAACUGUUUGCUAAGCAAAUAUGUUAAUUAUAAAUGUAAUUUGUAUUAUUUAUUGUAAAGUUAAGCAGUACAGUAUUCUCCAUGUAUAAGAUAUCACAGGGAAAAUAUAAAAUGAAAUUCAUCCUGGCAUUAGAUGAAGUUGUUAUACUGUAUGUAACAUGCUGUCAGGAUAGCUUUAGCACUCCCUGACUUGGAAAAAAAAUUGUGAAUGGGUAAAGUGAUGACCUCUGUUAGAAUGCGUAAAUAUCUAUUAAAUUCAUCAUCCUAAGUCUCCCAACGUUCCAGAUGUUUUAUUUGUCUUAUAUUAACUUCAGAAUGACAGAAAAAAUCAUAUGAAACAAUAUCAAAUUUUAUUUUAUAUAUUCUAAUGGUACAGUUAUAGCCUCAGUGUGCGUGUAAGUUAGGUGGCCUUAUGGUAAUGUUAAUCACUAAUCCAAGAAACGGGUUAAUGUACAGUAAAGUACUUCCUCAUGCUCCUCUCAACACCUGUACUGAACCAGGAUUCAGCAGAACUCUACCGUCACACUCGCAAGGAGGAGAACUAUAUAGUGACACUUGUACAGUAUCAAGGUCUCUCUUGCCAUUAACAUAAGACUGAGACAACAAGGAGACUGUCCUGUGUCUCAGCUUGAUGACUGAAGUAGUUUUCAGGCUUAAUGCAAAUCUUUCUAUACAGUACAUAAAUUUGUCAGUAUUUUAGAAGACUUAAGCUAAGUAACCACUUAGAUAAUUGAGGUAUUGGUGCAUGUGGCAUGUCAUUUUUAAUAAGUGGUUUCUACCUAUUAUGAUGUUGCUUUAGUAGUCUUGAAUGCUUUGCACUUGAUCAGUCUAGCACACAGAAAUGUACAUAGAAUCAAUACUGACUUAAAGGUGGUUCAGAACACGCUCAUAGUCCAUCCAUUACUUAAAUAUCCAUCGCCAGUUUCAUGGUCUUGGUUUACCUCCCCAAAUUACCUUGGUCUUGAGUAUAUUGGUCUCGAGUACAUUGGUCUUGAGUACAUUGGUCUUGGGUACAUAUGAAACAUCACAAUACGUACUGUGUUUACUUUAUAUAUGAUGGAGUGUCACGAGUAUAAGAAUUUCUCAUGGUGCUAUAAAGUUUUGUUAAAAUUUCCUGAUGGUAAUCGUUUAGAUGUUGUCAACACUUGUUCUACUUAAAACACAAAAGAGUACCAACUUUGUCCCCUUUGUCAAGUUAUAAAUUUCAUCAGGUACCGAAGGCUUAAAAAGAAAGUGUCAGUAAUCGUGUGUUACGGUACGUUGUUUUUCCUAUAGAUCACAACAUCUGAAACUGACUAUAUAUUUUUUUAUUCAAUAUGUACUCUAUCAAAUAAGUUUUAGCUAUACAGUACAUGAUUGUGCCUCUGUAUUUCUGAGAUAUUCAUAGUAUAGUACAGUAUAUACAGUAUAGUGGAACAAACAUUUUUUUAGUACUGUAGUAGAUGACAAAAGAAUGCUGUAUUGAUAUUUUGCCAUUUGUGUUCAUAAUCUCAAUAGAAUGAUUGUGUGGAUGGUGUGUAGCAGACAGCUGUACAGUACGUACUGUAUACACACAUGCAAAACAAAACACUCUGAUAGCAUAUUAUUUCCUUCCUUGAGCAGGUAUGUUACAGGAUGUAUUUCUAGUGGGUAAAUACGAUAUUGUUUUCUAUUUCAUCUGUAUGCUUUGUGACUAUCUCAUUCAACUCAGCAGUUAAAACCGUUGACCAGAGGUUGAACAAAGCUCUUCCCAUAUUCUGUUCUGUGUACUUCUCCUUGAUAAGUUUUAUUUUACAGGUUGAUUGUGGACUUAAUGUGUUUUUCUGUGGAAUUCUUAGAUAAUAUAAAUACUCUGAUAUUCCUGUUGGUGCUUUCUUAUCUCUUUGUACUAUACAUAGCCUUUACACCACAGAACCUGUUUUACCUUAAGAUUAUAUAAUUUAUUGGUCUUAACAAAGUCAAAAUAAAUAUGAUUUCUAUAACUGUGAGUAAACAAAAUACAGAAUUAAAAAAAACUAAA